UGGGGCAUAGUUCAAUUCAGGUGACGUUUGACACCUACGGCCACUUGUUCCCGGCCACCGAUGAAGCCCAGGUUUUGGCCGAUGCAGAGAGCCGCCUUUUGUCGGUCAAUGCGACAUAGAUGCGACAUGGUGGCAAUUCUCUCAAUGAAUUCAGUAUCAGAACAAACACUCUGACUCCGUUAGUCCUGGUUCGAAUCCAGGUUCCCCAGCCA
Molecule: transfer RNA, 212 nt
Filed under: Alphaproteobacteria bacterium
Lineage: Bacteria; Pseudomonadati; Pseudomonadota; Alphaproteobacteria
Also listed under: 1 other name
Description: tRNA-Gln
Source: RNAcentral